RNAcentral lists this ribosomal RNA (465 nucleotides) under Vreelandella stevensii. RNAcentral's name for it is "partial 16S ribosomal RNA". It matches the Rfam family "Bacterial small subunit ribosomal RNA", at positions 338 to 795 of the family's 1533-position model. The record is from RNAcentral. Lineage: Bacteria; Pseudomonadati; Pseudomonadota; Gammaproteobacteria; Oceanospirillales; Halomonadaceae.
CCUACGGGUGGCAGCAGUGGGGAAUAUUGGACAAUGGGCGAAAGCCUGAUCCAGCCAUGCCGCGUGUGUGAAGAAGGCCUUCGGGUUGUAAAGCACUUUCAGUGGGGAAGAAAGCCUUGGGGCUAAUACCCUCGAGGAAGGACAUCACCCACAGAAGAAGCACCGGCUAACUCCGUGCCAGCAGCCGCGGUAAUACGGAGGGUGCGAGCGUUAAUCGGAAUUACUGGGCGUAAAGCGCGCGUAGGCGGUCUGAUAAGCCGGUUGUGAAAGCCCCGGGCUCAACCUGGGAACGGCAUCCGGACCUGUCAGGCUUGAGUGCAGGAGAGGAAGGUAGAAUUCCCGGUGUAGCGGUGAAAUGCGUAGAGAUCGGGAGGAAUACCAGUGGCGAAGGCGGCCUUCUGGACUGACACUGACGCUGAGGUGCGAAAGCGUGGGUAGCAAACAGGAUUAGAUACCCGUGUAGUC